Molecule: ribosomal RNA, 1360 nt
Filed under: Bacillus sp. 112mf
Lineage: Bacteria; Bacillati; Bacillota; Bacilli; Caryophanales; Bacillaceae
Also listed under: 2 other names
Description: bacterial LSU rRNA
Rfam family: Bacterial large subunit ribosomal RNA
Source: RNAcentral
GCUGAGCUGUGAUGGGGAAGCUCCUUAUGGAGCGAAGUCUUUGAUUCCCCGCUGCCAAGAAAAGCUUCUAGCGAGAUAAAAGGUGCCUGUACCGCAAACCGACACAGGUAGGCGAGGAGAGAAUCCUAAGGUGUGCGAGAGAACUCUGGUUAAGGAACUCGGCAAAAUGACCCCGUAACUUCGGGAGAAGGGGUGCUUUCUUAACGGAAAGCCGCAGUGAAUAGGCCCAAGCGACUGUUUAGCAAAAACACAGGUCUCUGCGAAGCCGUAAGGCGAAGUAUAGGGGCUGACACCUGCCCGGUGCUGGAAGGUUAAGGAGAGGGGUUAGCGUAAGCGAAGCUCUGAACUGAAGCCCCAGUAAACGGCGGCCGUAACUAUAACGGUCCUAAGGUAGCGAAAUUCCUUGUCGGGUAAGUUCCGACCCGCACGAAAGGUGUAACGAUUUGGGCACUGUCUCAACCAGAGACUCGGUGAAAUUAUAGUACCUGUGAAGAUGCAGGUUACCCGCGACAGGACGGAAAGACCCCGUGGAGCUUUACUGUAGCCUGAUAUUGAAUUUUGGUACAGUUUGUACAGGAUAGGCGGGAGCCAUUGAAACCGGAGCGCUAGCUUCGGUGGAGGCGCUGGUGGGAUACCGCCCUGACUGUAUUGAAAUUCUAACCUACGGGUCUUAUCGACCCGGGAGACAGUGUCAGGUGGGCAGUUUGACUGGGGCGGUCGCCUCCUAAAGUGUAACGGAGGCGCCCAAAGGUUCCCUCAGAAUGGUUGGAAAUCAUUCGUAGAGUGCAAAGGCAUAAGGGAGCUUGACUGCGAGACCUACAAGUCGAGCAGGGACGAAAGUCGGGCUUAGUGAUCCGGUGGUUCCGCAUGGAAGGGCCAUCGCUCAACGGAUAAAAGCUACCCCGGGGAUAACAGGCUUAUCUCCCCCAAGAGUCCACAUCGACGGGGAGGUUUGGCACCUCGAUGUCGGCUCAUCGCAUCCUGGGGCUGUAGUCGGUCCCAAGGGUUGGGCUGUUCGCCCAUUAAAGCGGUACGCGAGCUGGGUUCAGAACGUCGUGAGACAGUUCGGUCCCUAUCCGUCGUGGGCGUAGGAAAUUUGAGAGGAGCUGUCCUUAGUACGAGAGGACCGGGAUGGACGCACCGCUGGUGUACCAGUUGUUCUGCCAAGGGCAUAGCUGGGUAGCUAUGUGCGGAAGGGAUAAGUGCUGAAAGCAUCUAAGCAUGAAGCCCCCCUCAAGAUGAGAUUUCCCAUAGCGUAAGCUAGUAAGAUCCCUGAAAGAUGAUCAGGUUGAUAGGUUCGAGGUGGAAGCAUGGUGACAUGUGGAGCUGACGAAUACUAAUAGAUCGAGGACUUAACCAU